Molecule: ribosomal RNA, 482 nt
Filed under: Martes martes (European pine marten)
Lineage: Eukaryota; Metazoa; Chordata; Mammalia; Carnivora; Mustelidae
Also listed under: 1 other name
Description: partial 12S ribosomal RNA
Source: RNAcentral
CAAAGGUUUGGUCCUGGCCUUCCUAUUAGUUAUUAACAGAAUUACACAUGCAAGCCUCCUCAUCCCGGUGAAGAUGCCCUCUAAAUCCAUAAACGAUUAAAAGGAGCGGGCAUCAGGCACACUAAAUAAGUAGCCCAUAACGCCUUGCUCAACCACACCCCCACGGGAUACAGCAGUGAUAAAAAUUAAGCCAUGAACGAAAGUUUGACUAAGCCAUGUUAAUAUUAAGAGUUGGUAAAUUUCGUGCCAGCCGCCGCGGUCAUACGAUUAACCCAAAUUAAUAGGCUCACGGCGUAAAACGUGCUAAGGAUUACAAAACACUAAAGUUAAAAUUUAACCAGGCCGUAAAAAGCUACUGUUAAUAUAAAAUAUACCACGAAAGUGACUUUAUCAUCUCCAACAACACGAUAGCUGGGACCCAAACUGGGAUUAGAUACCCCACUAUGCCCAGCCCUAAACACAAACAAUUUACACAACAAAAU